GAUGAACGCUAGCUACAGGCUUAACACAUGCAAGUCGAGGGGCAGCAUGACGGAAGCUUGCUUCCGUUGAUGGCGACCGGCGCACGGGUGAGUAACGCGUAUCCAACCUGCCCUUGUCCAUCGGAUAACCCGUCGAAAGGCGGACUAACACGAUAUGCAGUCCACAGCAGGCAUCUAACGUGGACGAAAUGUGAAGGAGAAGGAUGGGGAUGCGUCUGAUUAGCUUGUUGGCGGGGUAACGGCCCACCAAGGCGACGAUCAGUAGGGGUUCUGAGAGGAAGGUCCCCCACAUUGGAACUGAGACACGGUCCAAAACUCCUACGGGAGGCAGCAGUGAGGAAUAUUGGUCAAUGGGCGAGAGCCUGAACCAGCCAAGUAGCGUGCAGGAUGACGGCCCUAUGGGUUGUAAAACUGCUUUUAUACGGGGAUAAAAGUGGGUCACGUGUGGCUUAUUGCAGGUACCGUAUGAAUAAGGACCGGCUAAUUCCGUGCCAGCAG
This 498-nucleotide ribosomal RNA is filed under the name uncultured bacterium. RNAcentral's name for it is "bacterial SSU rRNA". It matches the Rfam family "Bacterial small subunit ribosomal RNA", at positions 28 to 514 of the family's 1533-position model. The record is from RNAcentral.